GUUUUCUUCCUUUUUUUUUUUAUCUGUUUAUUUUGCACAGGUUGCUCUUAAUAGUUUCCUAGUUUGUCUCUUCACUUUCUUAUCACUUUGAUUAUUGCUUUGAUUCUAAUUUUCCAUUGUACCCUUUUGUAUCUGGAUGAUGACUUCUGUUGAAUUUUCUAAUUUAAUCAACUUGUAGACUUGUUUCUUCCGGCAAUUUGG
Molecule: unclassified non-coding RNA, 201 nt
Filed under: Hevea brasiliensis (rubber tree)
Lineage: Eukaryota; Viridiplantae; Streptophyta; Magnoliopsida; Malpighiales; Euphorbiaceae
Source: RNAcentral